CCUUGGCCGAAAGGUCUGGGUAAUCUUGUKAAACUCCGUCGUGCUGGGGAUAGAGCAUUGCAAUUAUUGCUCUUCAACGAGGAAUUCCUAGUAAGCGCAA
RNAcentral lists this ribosomal RNA (100 nucleotides) under uncultured fungus. Its description in RNAcentral is "partial 18S rRNA". It matches the Rfam family "Eukaryotic small subunit ribosomal RNA", at positions 1547 to 1646 of the family's 1831-position model. The record is from RNAcentral. Lineage: Eukaryota; Fungi.